RNAcentral lists this ribosomal RNA (1479 nucleotides) under uncultured bacterium. RNAcentral describes it as "bacterial SSU rRNA". It matches the Rfam family "Bacterial small subunit ribosomal RNA". The record is from RNAcentral.
AGAGUUUGAUCAUGGCUCAGGACGAACGCUGGCGGAAUGCUUAAUACAUGCAAGUCGAACGAUGAGGCGCUUUCGGGCGUACAUCAGUGGCGGACGGGUGAGUAACGCGUUGGUAAUCUACCUUACACUGGGGGAUAACAUCUGGAAACGGGUGCUAAUACCGCAUAUGUGCAAAGCUGGGAUGUUUUGUACGAAAGAUUCAUUGGUGUGAGAUGAGCCUGCGUAUGAUUAGCUAGAUGGUGGGGUAAUGGCUUACCAUGGCGAUGAUCAUUAGUUGGUCUGAGAGGAUGGCCAGCCACAGUGGGACUGAGACACGGCCCACACUCCUACGGGAGGCAGCAGUAGGGUAUAUUGCGCAAUGGAGGAAACUCUGACGCAGCAAUUCCGCGUGAAGGAUGAAGCCUUUAGGGGUGUAAACUUCUGUCAAUAGGGAAGAACUAGACGGUACCUAUAGAGGAAGCACCGGCUAACUACGUGCCAGCAGCCGCGGUAAUACGUAGGGUGCGAGCGUUGUCCGGAAUUAUUGGGCGUAAAGCGUCCGCAGGCGGUUAAGUAAGUCUAAUGUAAAAGGCAUCUGCUCAACAGAUGUUGUGUAUUGGAAACUAUUUAACUAGAGUAUGGUAGAGGUUGCUGGAAUUCCAGGAGUAGCGGUGAAAUGCGUAGAUAUCUGGAGGAACACCGGUGGCGAAAGCGGGCAACUGGACCAUAACUGACGCUAAUGGACGAAAGCCAGGGUAGCGAAAGGGAUUAGAUACCCCUGUAGUCCUGGCCGUAAACGAUGAACACUAGGUGUUGGGUGAAUCGACCCAUUCAGUGCCGCAGCUAACGCGCUAAGUGUUCCGCCUGGGGAGUACGGCCGCAAGGUUGAAACUCAAAGGAAUUGACGGGGACUCGCACAAGCGGUGGAACAUGUGGUUUAAUUCGAUGCAACGCGAAGAACCUUACCUGGCUUGACAUCUACUGAAUCAUGGCGAAAGUUGUGAGUGCCUUUCGGGGAGCAGUAAGACAGGUGGUGCACGGUUGUCGUCAGCUCGUGUCGUGAGAUGUUGGGUUAAGUCCCGCAACGAGCGCAACCCACGUCGUAUGUUGUUACAGGCCAUCAGGUGCUGAACCCUCAUGCGAGACUGCCGGUGACAAGCCGGAGAAAGGUGUGGAUGACGUCAAAUCAUCAUGCCCCUUAUGUCCAGGGCUACACACGUGUUACAAUGGGACGGUACAGCAAGCAGCUUGCACGCGAGUGUUGGCAAAUCUAUAAAACCGCCCUCAGUUCGGAUCGUACUCCGCAACUCGAGUACGUGAAGUUGGAAUCGCUAGUAAACGCAGAUCAGCACGCUGCGUUGAAUACGUUCCCGGGUCUUGUACACACCGCCCGUCACACCACGAAAGAAGGUUAUGCCCGAAGUUGUUGAGCCAACCGUUUACGGAGGCAGGCACCUAAGGUAGAGCUUUUGAUUGGGGUGAAGUCGUAACAAGGUAACC